AGGUCUCUGGGUCUCUCUGCAACUCUCUCUUCCCCACUAUUCAUCUCCAGCUCCAGCUGCUGUGGUCUCUCGGACCCUCAGCUCCAUUUCCUCAGCUCAGAAAGUCCUCUGGGCUCCACCUCACUUCUCCCUCCUUGCUCUGCCACUGGGAACUCUUUUGAGAGAGUAAGCUGGCCAAUCUUAGAAGGGCAAACCUUGCAUGUUUCCUUUCUCUCUGGGAUUUCAUUGCCUUCGUUAUUGUUUGUCAUUGUCUGAUGCACAGUUUGUAACACUGUUGUCUUCCUGUAUUUUGUCUGUCUUUGCUAUGUCUUUGUAAUGGUGAUGGCGGUUGUUUCCCGUGGGGGCCCUGUUCCUCCAUCUUGCCAGAAGUGGGAGUCCUCCAGCAGUGGUUGAAAAGCUCCUCAGGUGAUUCCAACAAGCAGCCAAGGUUUGUGCAGGAUGGAGAAUCAGAAUCCAGGUGUCCUGGCCUCAGGCUCCUCCCACUCUACUAUGCAAGAAUUUCUGAAAAAAGGAAUCAGGAUGUUACUCAAGGAAUGAGGAAAUUUUGAUUUGCAGCUCAUAGUCCAUUGUUGGCUGACUUCAUUGCUCUGGGAUGGAAGUGAGGCAGAUCAUGAUGGAAGUUGUGAAGGAGGAAAUCAGCUCAGGAUAUGGAAACAAGGAAGCAGGGAGCCUUCAUGCUGAUAUCCAAUGGACAGGAUGCAGCAGAAGUGACACGGCAUGACUUCUGAGACUAAUUAAAAUUUUAAAAAAAGGAUAGAGCUGCAACCUGGUACUCCCACUCCACUCACCCUUGGAACUCAGCCACCAUGUUGUGAGGAAGCCCAAGACAUAUAUAGGUGCCUUGGCUAAAGUCCCAGAUAAGGUCCCAAUCAAUAACCAACAUCCACUACCAAACACGUAAAUGGGCAAGUCUUCAGAUGACUCUAGCCCCAGGAUUUGAGCCACCUCAGCUGAUAUCAAGCAAAGCAGAGAUGAGCUACCUGCCUGGAGCCCUGCCCAAAACACAGACUGAGGAAAAGAAAUAUUGCUAUCUUAGGGAAUUAUGUUUUGGGGUGGUUUGUGACAUAGAAAUAGAAAACUGGCACACUUGACUUCAAGGGUUCUCACCAGGUGGGUUAAGGGCAGUAGUCCUGUAUCACAUGUGAGAUCUUCUCAAGGGUUCACACUUAAUUCCAAUGUCCCCCCACCCUGUCUUGCUAGAUUCUUACACCACUUUAGGGUAUGAAUUGGGUAGGCUGGGGAGAAAUAUAACAGCAACAACAGUGGAGUUGCAACAGAAAUUUUGUAGAAGAUUAAAAAAUGCCCUCUCCAUAAUUGAGGUCCACUAGAUCUGCUCAGUCUAAUACAGUGGCCAUCAGACAUAUGUGGUUCUUUUUAUUUAUUUAUUUUUUAGUUUUCAGUGGACACAACAUCUUUGUUUGUAUGUGGUGCUGAGGAUCGAACUCAGGCCACACGCAUGCCAGGCGAGCGCGCUACCGCUUGAGCCACAUCCCAGCCCCCAUAUGUGGUUCUUUAAAUUAAAAUUUAUUAAAAUAA
Molecule: long non-coding RNA, 1536 nt
Organism: Marmota monax (woodchuck)
Lineage: Eukaryota; Metazoa; Chordata; Mammalia; Rodentia; Sciuridae
Exons: 3
Source: RefSeq, a predicted model, not a curated record